UGUCUGGGAAACUGACUGAUGGAGGGGGAUAACUACUGGAAACGGUAGCUAAUACCGCAUAACGUCGCAAGACCAAAGAGGGGGACCUUCGGGCCUCUUGCCAUCAGAUGAGCCCAGAUGGGAUUAGCUAGAAAGUGGGGUAAAGGAUCACCUAGGCGACGAUCCCUAGCUGGUCUGAGAGGAUGACCAGACACACUGGAACUGAGACACGGUCCAAACUCCUACGGGAGGCAGCAGUGGGGAAUAUUGCACAAUGGGCGCAAGCCUGAUGCAGCCAUGCCGCGUGUAUGAAGAAGGCCUUCGGGUUGUAAAGAACUUUCAGCGAGGAGGAAGGAAGUAAAAUUAAUACCUUAAAACAUUGACGUUACACGCAAAAAAAGCACCGGCUAACUCCGUGCCAACAACCGCGGUAAUACGGAGGGUGCAAGCGAUAAUCAGAAUUACUGGGCGUAAAGCGCACGCAGGCGGUUUGUUAAGUCAGAUGUGAAAUCCCCGGGCUCAACCUGGGAACUGAAUAUGAUACUGGCAAGCUAGAGUCUCGAAAAGGGGGGUAAAAUUCCAAGUGUAGCGGUGAAAUGCGUAGAGAUCAGGAAGAAUACCGGUGGCGAAGGCGGACCCCUGGACGAAAACUGACGCUCAAGUGCGAAAGCGUGGGGAGCAAACAGGAUUAGAUACCCUGGAAAUCCACGCAGAAAACGAUGUCAAAUUGGAGGAUGUGCCAUGAAGCGUGGAUUCCGGAAAUAACGCGUAAAAAAAACAACCUGGGGAAAACAGACGAAAGGUUAAAACUCAAAUGAAUUGACGGGGGGACCGCACAA
This 818-nucleotide ribosomal RNA is filed under the name Escherichia coli. Its description in RNAcentral is "bacterial SSU rRNA". It matches the Rfam family "Bacterial small subunit ribosomal RNA", at positions 114 to 928 of the family's 1533-position model. The record is from RNAcentral. Lineage: Bacteria; Pseudomonadati; Pseudomonadota; Gammaproteobacteria; Enterobacterales; Enterobacteriaceae.